RNAcentral lists this long non-coding RNA (221 nucleotides) under Elaeis guineensis (African oil palm). RNAcentral describes it as "long non-coding RNA (EGUI_LNC067485)". Lineage: Eukaryota; Viridiplantae; Streptophyta; Magnoliopsida; Arecales; Arecaceae. The record is from RNAcentral.
CUUGUACUAAUUGAAGUUACCAUCUAACAAUGGUUUUCAAUAUUUAGAUAGAUCAAAUUAUUGCAAGGUAAUAUUCAAGAACUUAUGCAUAUGGUUAUCGCAUAAUUCAUCUCUUUGAUCCUCAAUACUCUAGGAUGGUCUAAGGUUAAACUGUCAACCCUGAAGGAUCAUCCAUAUUGUAUUCCAACUGUUCAAAUCCAUCACAUGAAUUACUCUAGCCA